UACGGAAGGCAGCAGUGGGGAAUAUUGCACAAGUGGGCGAAAGCCUGAUGCAGCUAUGCCGCGUGUAUGAAGAAGGCCUUAGGGUUGUAAAGUACUUUCAUCGGGGAAGGAAAAACAAAACUAAUAAUUUUAUUUCUUGACGUUACCCGAAAAAGAAGCACCGGCUAACUCCGUGCCAGCAGCCGCGGUAAUACGGAGGGUGCUAGCGUUAAUCAGAAUUACUGGGCGUAAAGAGCACGUAGGUGGUUUUUUUAAGUCAGAUGUGAAAUCCCUGGGCUUAACCUAGGAACUGCAUUUUGAAACUGAAAUACUAGAGUAUCGUAGAGGGAGGUAGAAUUCUAGGUGUAGCGGUGAAAUGCGUAGAUAUCUGGAGGAAUACCUGUGGCGAAAGCGGCCUCCUAAACGAAUACUGACACUGAGGUGCGAAAGCGUGGGAAGCAAACAGGGAUUAGAUACC
RNAcentral lists this ribosomal RNA (457 nucleotides) under uncultured bacterium. RNAcentral's name for it is "bacterial SSU rRNA". It matches the Rfam family "Bacterial small subunit ribosomal RNA", at positions 340 to 786 of the family's 1533-position model. The record is from RNAcentral.